AGAACGAACGCUGGCGGCGCGCUUAAGCAUGCAAGUCGAGCGGCAAGAUGCCUCCGGGCGAUCCUAGAGCGGCGGACGUGGUGAGUAACACGUGGAGUGACGCACCCUCCCGACCGGGGAUUAGCCGUGUGGAAACGAACAGGGUAAUACCGGAUAAGGCCGCCAGGGCGUGGAGCCUGGCGGGAAAGGGGCGUACUUGCCCCGCGGGAGGAGCGGUCCGCGGCCCAUCAGCUGGUUGGCGGGGUAAAGGCCCGACCAAGGCGAUGACGGGUAUCCGGCCUGAGAGGGUGAGCGGGCACAUUGGGACUGAGAUACGGCCCAGACUCCUACGGGAGGCAGCAGCUAAGAAUAUUCCGCAAUGGGCGAAAGCCUGACGGAGCGACGCCGCGUGGACGAUGAAGGCCCGGAAGGUUGCAGAGUCCUUUGGCGCCUGAGGAAGGAGCGCGGGAGUGGAAAGCCCGCGCGGUGACUGUAGGGCGAGAACAAGCACCGGCUAAUUACGUGCCAGCAGCAGC
Molecule: ribosomal RNA, 515 nt
Filed under: uncultured bacterium
Lineage: Bacteria
Description: bacterial SSU rRNA
Rfam family: Bacterial small subunit ribosomal RNA
Source: RNAcentral